This 62-nucleotide transfer RNA is filed under the name Thereuopoda clunifera. RNAcentral's name for it is "tRNA-His". The record is from RNAcentral. Lineage: Eukaryota; Metazoa; Arthropoda; Chilopoda; Scutigeromorpha; Scutigeridae.
GCUCAAAUAGUUUAAGAUAAAAUUUCAAUUUGUGGAAUUGGAGAUGUAGUAUACUUUGGGUA